Branchiostoma belcheri (Belcher's lancelet) is the source of this 837-nucleotide long non-coding RNA. RefSeq lists it as uncharacterized. Lineage: Eukaryota; Metazoa; Chordata; Leptocardii; Amphioxiformes; Branchiostomatidae. The transcript has 4 exons. The record is from RefSeq and is a predicted model, not a curated record.
UGUGAAAAGGUCACGUCAUCACUUCAAGGAUGCCUUUGGAAAUUCGCAGCCAGAACAUGCCAUCACUCUCACAGGUGCAACAAGGACCUCCAGCUGCUGCAGCUGCAUACAGCACGGUCCCAGCUGCAUAUUCUUCUUCUAUCUACCUGCAGCACCUCCUGCGGUAUGAUGAUGUGGACAGGGAGGACCUGUAUCGAGAGUCACGGAAGCGAACAGGAGACAAAGGCAGCAGCUGUCUUCCGAAGAAAAGGAAAACACAGUAAAGCGGUGAUGGAAUGAAUUAUCAGCUGUACAAAAUCUGGAAUCGAGCAUCGCAUAGAUUAGUUAGUUUUUUUUUAAAGUUACAAAUGAUAAAUGAUAAUAGAACCUGUUGCAGAUGUAAAUGUAUCAAGAGCUUCUGAAUCUAUUAUUUAAUAUAUUGGAAAAAGACCAUCUCAGGCAUAUUCUGUGAAAGUUAGCCUUUUAUGAGGCAAAACAGCAAUAAGUACUAAUUAGCAAAAACAGUGUAAUGAUAGCAUUGGGCACGAAGUUUGUUUUAAAACAUUUGAAUUUUAGUUCUGAGUCAACUCUAAUUUUUCUAAAACAUGUAAAAUGUUCAUUAGUUGGCCCCAACAUUUGAAGAAAGUCCUUUUCUUCCUGGUUGUUACAAUUUUUCCAUGUCAAUGCAGUGGUGUCAUCAAAAAUUCAUUGAAUCACAGACCAGCCUGGAAUGUUGACUUCAUGUUGCAUUGUAGUAUUUGGGACUAUCAUAGGAUAUCUAGACCUGUUUUUCCCCUGUCGGUUCAUAUUUUUCUACAAAUAUCCAAGAACCAACUAUUUAAAUUGGUGUGACCUAAU